Molecule: ribosomal RNA, 301 nt
Filed under: uncultured bacterium
Lineage: Bacteria
Description: partial 16S ribosomal RNA
Rfam family: Bacterial small subunit ribosomal RNA
Source: RNAcentral
CAGCCGCCGCGGGAAUACGUAGGGUGCGAGCGUUAAUCGGAAUUACUGGGCGUAAAGCGUACGCAGGCGGUUUGUUAAGUCAGAUGUGAAAUCCCCGAGCUUAACUCGGGAACUGCAUUUGAAACUACCGGGCUUGAGUAUUGGAGAGGUGAGUGGAAUUUCCGGUGUAGCGGUGAAAUGCGUUGAGAUCGGAAAGAACACCAACGGCGAAAGCACUCUGCUGGGCCGACACUGACACUGAGAGACGAAAGCUAGGGGAGCAAAUGGGAUUAGAGACCCCCGUAGUCCCUGUCUCUUAUAC